AGCUACACAUGCAAGUCGAGCGGCAGCGGGGGGAAGCUUGCUUCCCCGCCGGCGAGCGGCGGACGGGUGAGUAAUGUCUGGGGAUCUGCCUGAUGGAGGGGGAUAACUACUGGAAACGGUAGCUAAUACCGCAUAACGUCGCAAGACCAAAGUGGGGGACCUUCGGGCCUCACGCCAUCGGAUGAACCCAGAUGGGAUUAGCUAGUAGGUGAGGUAACGGCUCACCUAGGCGACGAUCCCUAGCUGGUCUGAGAGGAUGACCAGCCACACUGGAACUGAGACACGGUCCAGACUCCUACGGGAGGCAGCAGUGGGGAAUAUUGCACAAUGGGGGAAACCCUGAUGCAGCCAUGCCGCGUGUGUGAAGAAGGCCUUCGGGUUGUAAAGCACUUUCAGCGGGGAGGAAGGGGACAAGGUUAAUAACCUUGUUCAUUGACGUUACCCGCAGAAGAAGCACCGGCUAACUCCGUGCCAGCAGCCGCGGUAAUACGGAGGGUGCAAGCGUUAAUCGGAAUGACUGGGCGUAAAGCGCACGCAGGCGGUCUGUUAAGUUGGAUGUGAAAUCCCCGGGCUUAACCUGGGAACUGCAUUCAAAACUGACAGGCUAGAGUCUCGUAGAGGGGGGUAGAAUUCCAGGUGUAGCGGUGAAAUGCGUAGAGAUCUGGAGGAAUACCGGUGGCGAAGGCGGCCCCCUGGACGAAGACUGACGCUCAGGUGCGAAAGCGUGGGGAGCAAACAGGAUUAGAUACCCUGGUAGUCCACGCUGUAAACGAUGUCGAUUUGGAGGUUGUGCCCUUGAGGCGUGGCUUCCGGAGCUAACGCGUUAAAUCGACCGCCUGGGGAGUACGGCCGCAAGGUUAAAACUCAAAUGAAUUGACGGGGGCCCGCACAAGCGGUGGAGCAUGUGGUUUAAUUCGAUGCAACGCGAAGAACCUUACCUACUCUUGACAUCCAGCGAACCCUGUAGAGAUACGGGGGUGCCUUCGGGAACGCUGAGACAGGUGCUGCAUGGCUGUCGUCAGCUCGUGUUGUGAAAUGUUGGGUUAAGUCCCGCAACGAGCGCAACCCUUAUCCUCUGUUGCCAGCACUUCGGGUGGGAACUCAGGGGAGACUGCCGGUGAUAAACCGGAGGAAGGUGGGGAUGACGUCAAGUCAUCAUGGCCCUUACGAGUAGGGCUACACACGUGCUACAAUGGCGCAUACAAAGAGAAGCGACCUCGCGAGAGCAAGCGGACCUCAUAAAGUGCGUCGUAGUCCGGAUUGGAGUCUGCAACUCGACUCCAUGAAGUCGGAAUCGCUAGUAAUCGUAGAUCAGAAUGCUACGGUGAAUACGUUCCCGGGCCUUGUACACACCGCCCGUCACACCAUGGGAGUGGGUUGCAAAAGAAGUAGGUAGCUUAACCUUCGGGAGGGCGCUACCACUUGAUC
RNAcentral lists this ribosomal RNA (1428 nucleotides) under Dickeya dadantii. Its description in RNAcentral is "bacterial SSU rRNA". It matches the Rfam family "Bacterial small subunit ribosomal RNA". The record is from RNAcentral. Lineage: Bacteria; Pseudomonadati; Pseudomonadota; Gammaproteobacteria; Enterobacterales; Pectobacteriaceae.